Molecule: long non-coding RNA, 171 nt
Filed under: Mus spicilegus (steppe mouse)
Lineage: Eukaryota; Metazoa; Chordata; Mammalia; Rodentia; Muridae
Description: lncRNA (ENSMSIG00000024530.1)
Source: RNAcentral
CAUCUUAGUGACAGUCCAGAACAACUUUCCAUUGUAAAAAUAUAACAUAAAAUUAUGAUAAUGACUAAGAGGGAGCACUUUCUGCCCCUUCCGAGGCUGGUGGCAGCUGAUGAAAUGGCCUUUCAAUAACUUAUUGACUGCACCAUCACAAGCAUGUCAAGAUCAGGGAAA